This 433-nucleotide ribosomal RNA is filed under the name uncultured bacterium. RNAcentral describes it as "partial 16S ribosomal RNA". It matches the Rfam family "Bacterial small subunit ribosomal RNA", at positions 29 to 507 of the family's 1533-position model. The record is from RNAcentral.
AACGAACGCUGGCGGCAUGCCUAACACAUGCAAGUCGAACGAGACCUUCGGGCUUGGUGGCGCACGGGUGCGUAACGCGUGGGAUCAUGCCCAUAGGUUUGGCAUAACUCCCCGAAAGGGGUGCUAAUACCGGAUAUUGUCCUCGGACCAAAGUUUGAUCGCCUUUGGAUGUGCCUGCGUUGGCUCACCUUGUUGCUAGGGUAAAAGCCUACCAAGGCGACGAUACAUAGCUGGUCUGAGAGGAUGAUCAGCCACACUGGGACUGAGACACGGCCCAGAAUCCUACGGGAGGCAGCAGUGGGGAAUAUUGGACAAUGGGCGAAGGCCUGAUCCAGCAAUGCCGCGUGAGUGAUGAAGGCCUUAGGGUUGUAAAGCUCUUUUACCCGGGAUGAUAAUGACAGUACCGGGAGAAUAAGCUCCGGCUAACUCCGUG